GGGGUUGUUGCUCAGUGGUAGAGUGCUUGCCUAGGAUGUAUGAGGCACUGGGUUCAAUUCUCAGCAUCACCU
This is a non-coding RNA of Ictidomys tridecemlineatus (thirteen-lined ground squirrel), 72 nucleotides long. NCBI's taxonomy places the organism in Eukaryota, Metazoa, Chordata, Mammalia, Rodentia, Sciuridae. The record is from Rfam.